GACGAACGCUGGCGGCGUGCUUAACACAUGCAAGUCGAACGGAAAGGCCCUGCUUUUGUGGGGUGCUCGAGUGGCGAACGGGUGAGUAACACGUGAGUAACCUGCCCUUGACUUUGGGAUAACUUCAGGAAACUGGGGCUAAUACCGGAUAGGAGCUCCUGCUGCAUGGUGGGGGUUGGAAAGUUUCGGCGGUUGGGGAUGGACUCGCGGCUUAUCAGCUUGUUGGUGGGGUAGUGGCUUACCAAGGCUUUGACGGGUAGCCGGCCUGAGAGGGUGACCGGCGACAAUGGGACUGAGAUACGGACCAGAAUCCUACGGGAGGCAGCAGGGGGGAAUAUUGCACAAUGGGCGGAAGCCUGAUGCAGCAACGCCGCGUGCGGGAUGACGGCCUUCGGGUUGUAAACCGCUUUCGCCUGUGACGAAGCGUGAGUGACGGUAAUGGGUAAAGAAGCACCGGCUAACUACGUG
This 468-nucleotide ribosomal RNA is filed under the name uncultured bacterium. RNAcentral describes it as "partial 16S ribosomal RNA". It matches the Rfam family "Bacterial small subunit ribosomal RNA", at positions 28 to 507 of the family's 1533-position model. The record is from RNAcentral.